Non-coding RNA from Myotis brandtii (Brandt's bat), 76 nucleotides. The record is from Rfam. Lineage: Eukaryota; Metazoa; Chordata; Mammalia; Chiroptera; Vespertilionidae.
GAGACACCCCUAUGGGGCAGGACUUGCUUCAGUGGGGCUUUGGUGCUCACUGAGUCUGCCCCUUGAAUGUGUCUCU